ACCUUGGUGGUAUAUUGGUAAUUACGCCUAUUUUUUAUAUAGGAGAAUGGGGUUCGAUUCCCUGCUAGGGUC
RNAcentral lists this transfer RNA (72 nucleotides) under Mytilus galloprovincialis (Mediterranean mussel). It matches the Rfam family "tRNA". Rfam says of the family: Transfer RNA (tRNA) molecules are approximately 80 nucleotides in length. Their secondary structure includes four short double-helical elements and three loops (D, anti-codon, and T loops). The record is from Rfam by way of RNAcentral. Lineage: Eukaryota; Metazoa; Mollusca; Bivalvia; Mytilida; Mytilidae.